AUUGAACGCUGGCGGCAGGCCUAACACAUGCAAGUCGAGCGGAUUAAGGGAGCUGGCUCCUCGGUUCAGCGGCACACGGGUGAGUAAUGCUUACGAAUCUGCCUGCUAGUGGGGAAUAACGUCCAGCAACCGGCGCUAAUACCGCAUACGUCCUGAUGGAGAAAGUGGGGGAUCUUCGGACCUCACGCUAUCAGGUGAGCCGAGGUCGGAGUGGCUCGUUGGUUGGUUAAAGGCCUACCAACCCGACGAGCCGUAACUGGUGUGAGAGGAUGAUCAGUCACACCGCAAUGGAGCAAAGGCACAGACCACACUGGGAGGGAGGAGUGGGGAAUAUUGGACAAUGGGAGAAAGCUUGAUCCAGCCCUGCCGCGUGUGUGAAGAAGGGUUUCGGAUCGUAAAGCACUUUCAGUUGGGAGGAAGGGCAGUACGUUCAUCCCUUGCUGUGUUGACGUUACCCACAGAAUAAGCACCGGCUAACUUCGUG
RNAcentral lists this ribosomal RNA (484 nucleotides) under uncultured bacterium. RNAcentral's name for it is "partial 16S ribosomal RNA". It matches the Rfam family "Bacterial small subunit ribosomal RNA", at positions 30 to 507 of the family's 1533-position model. The record is from RNAcentral.